GACGAACGCUGGCGGCGCGCUUAACACAUGCAAGUCGAACGGAAAGGCCUGCUUUCCCUUGUGGACUGCGGGUACUCGAGUGGCGAACGGGUGAGUAACACGUGAGUGAUCUGCCCCCAACUUGGGUAUAAGCCUGGGAAACUGGGUCUAAUUCCCGAUAGGACUGCAGGGUGGUGCCUGUGGUGGAAAACGAUUUUCUAGUGGUUGGGGAUGAGCUCGCGGCCUAUCAGCUUGUUGGUGGGGUAAUGGCCUACCAAGGCGGCGACGGGUAGCCGGCCUGAGAGGGUGGACGGACACAUUGGGACUGAGAUACGGCCCAGACUCCUACGGGAGGCAGCAGUGGGGAAUAUUGCACAAUGGGCGGAAGCCUGAUGCAGCGACGCCGCGUGGGGGAUGACGGCCUUCGGGUUGUAAACUCCUUUCGACCGCGAGGAAGCCACCUGGUUGGAAGGGUGGUGACGGUAGUGGCAGAAGAAGCACCGGCUAACUACGUG
This 494-nucleotide ribosomal RNA is filed under the name uncultured bacterium. Its description in RNAcentral is "partial 16S ribosomal RNA". It matches the Rfam family "Bacterial small subunit ribosomal RNA", at positions 28 to 507 of the family's 1533-position model. The record is from RNAcentral.